Molecule: long non-coding RNA, 1147 nt
Filed under: Oreochromis niloticus (Nile tilapia)
Lineage: Eukaryota; Metazoa; Chordata; Actinopteri; Cichliformes; Cichlidae
Description: lncRNA (ENSONIG00000030318.1)
Source: RNAcentral
AAUUUAGAUCAAUGUUUGUUUGUAUUUUGAUGAAUUACUACCCCUUCUUAAAAAAAAAAAAUAAUAAUAAUAACAAUAAAUUCGCACUUUUUUUUUUUUUUUUUUUUGCUUAUUGUUUUUUUUCUUCGCCCACAGUCUUUCCGAGGUCGCGGGCUGGCUGAAAAAUAAAGACGACGUGGGUGUUUAAAACCACACACAGGCGUUCAGAGAGUGGAGGGUAACUCCACUUUCUGAACACAGAGAGUUUCCAAACACCUGUAGUUCUUAAGCUCGACACUUAUGGGAUCAUUACGAUGACACCCUGAAAGGAAACCGAAAAAAAUAUUGAAACUGAAAAAAAAUAUUGUAACUGAAAUAAAUGUACUGAAAAAUCUUGCAUUGAUACUGAAAAAAAAGAUAUUGAAAAACAAUUAAUUGAAACUGUAAUUUUUUUUUUCAAUUGACUAUGUGCACGAUAGCAUAUGCUAGUUCCGGUGCGGAAAAUCCUGUGUGGAGCUUUGUUUCCGGUGUCCUAUUCGCGCCCUGUUUAAUGUCCAAAAGAAGUUAACCAAAUGAAUGAAUUAAGCGUCGAUUUACAUUUCUAUAGAUGUCUUGGUCAUUUACCCAAUAUAUCUGUAAAUGAUGUUCACGGACUUGUCGAUAUUUUGCCCCCACGCCUCAGAGCAAAGGAGAAAAGGGAUUCAAAUGUUAUAUUUCUCAGCUGUCCCUCGUUUAUUGCGGGUGUUAUGUUCUAAAAAUAACCAGCAAUGGGUGAAAUCAAGUAGCCAAUUUUAUUUUUUUGAUGCGUGGACAUCGUGGACAUCCAGUACUGCACUUUUUAAUUUAGAAGGUUAGCACCUCAUACCACAGUGCAGCAAAAGCAGUCUCAUGAGGGCGCUGGGAAGGACAAGCCCAGAGCCCAAAACAGACAGUGCAGGAGAUGACAAGGUUAGUAAUUGUAUGGUGAAAAUUAGACUUUUAGUUAUCUUGAUUGGCAAAAAAAAAAGUAAAUAAAAAAUCAGCUUCUCACAUAUAGGUCAUUUCCAAGAUUUUUUUCAAAACUUCUUCCCUUUAUUUCAUUACAGCUGUCCUGUGCCAGAUGUUCUGUUGACCCACAGUGAGAGGCAUCAUUUCAGAAACACCAGGAAGACUGAAACUCAUCGCAGGG